AAAUUAUAUUAUAUAUAUUAUUAUAUUAUUAAUUAAUAUAAUUAAUAGGAAUUAAGACAAAUCAUAAUGACCUUUAUAAUAUGGGCAAUAAACAUGCUAUAAUAAUUUGAGAAUAAAAUUAUAAUAAUAUUUUAAAAAAAAGAAUAAAAUUAAUAAUUAAAAACAAAUUAAUAUUUAAUAUAGAUUAUAUAUUAUAUAUUUAAUAUGGAUUAUUAUCUGAAAUUUGAUAAUAUGAAAUAAGAAUUACUAGUAAUACGUAAAUAACCAAGUUACGGUGAAUAUUCUAACUGUUUCGCACUAAUUACUCAUCACACAUUGAAAUAUAUAUUUAUCUGAUUAAUAAUUAUAUUUAAUAAUUUUUUAUUAAUUAAUUAAUUAUUAUUAUUAUAUUAUUAUAUGAGAAUAUAUUGAUUAAUGUGAAGUUG
This 425-nucleotide ribosomal RNA is filed under the name Monosporozyma servazzii. RNAcentral's name for it is "Kazachstania servazzii partial small subunit ribosomal RNA". The record is from RNAcentral. Lineage: Eukaryota; Fungi; Ascomycota; Saccharomycetes; Saccharomycetales; Saccharomycetaceae.